RNAcentral lists this ribosomal RNA (341 nucleotides) under uncultured soil bacterium. Its description in RNAcentral is "bacterial SSU rRNA". It matches the Rfam family "Bacterial small subunit ribosomal RNA", at positions 26 to 367 of the family's 1533-position model. The record is from RNAcentral.
AGGACGAACGCUGGCGGCGUGCUUAACACAUGCAAGUCGAGCGGUAAGGCCUUUCGGGGUACACGAGCGGCGAACGGGUGAGUAACACGUGGGUGAUCUGCCCUGCACUUCGGGAUAAGCCUGGGAAACUGGGUCUAAUACCGGAUAUGACCUCCUAUCGCAUGGUGGGUGGUGGAAAGAUUUAUCGGUGCAGGAGUGGGCCCGCGGCCUAUCAGCUUGUUGGUGGGGUAAGUGGCCUACCAAGGCGACGACGGGUAGCCGACCUGAGAGGGUGACCGGCCACACUGGGACUGAGACACGGCCCAGACUCCUACGGGAGGCCAGCGAGUGGGGAAUAUUGC